UACGCCGCUCACCAUCAACGUAUUAUUCUAAUCUGAAAUCUUCUUCUUCCUCCUGUGACUUUGUUUCUCUCUGCGCCCAAACCCUAACGCCACCAAGCUUAAUUCAUACGUUCACCGUAUUGCAUGGAACGACAACAACAGCAACCAGAGCAGCGCCACCUCCUCAGUGGCGGAGAUGUUCAUUUACAGCAUAGCAUGGACCUCCUGGGUACACUUUUGCAAUUCUGUUCCUGUACAAACACGGGAGGAGAAGGAUGUUUAUGGUAUUCCUUGAGAGGGCUUGAACAUAAAAGAGGUAUGAGAAGCAAGCCAUUGAAAAGAACAGAGCGAGUGAGAAUCGAAAUCGGCGAUCUCCGUGAAAUUCUCGGAAAGCUCUAACAAGCCAACGAAGAGAGCAAGUCCCUUCACAAACCGGAGCAGGAAGUGGAUGUGUAUUGGGAUUAUCAUUCUUCUCAUCCUCAUUCUGGUUAUUUUCUUCCCCAUCGUUACCAGUCUCACCAGUUUUGGAGAUCCAUUUUAGUUUCGCUCAUGCACAUGUUGUGUAAGGAGUGGAUUGCUCCCAAGCCUAUGCAUGAGGUUUUGCUUGAGGGUGCUUUGCAACAUCAAAUUGAUUAUUUCAGUCAUGGAUCCAAGUCGGAGCUGGGCUGCGCGUUGGUUGCGAAUUGGUUUUUACCCUUCUCAAUUACACAUUUUCUUCAACUUUAAUUACGCAAAAGUUGAAGAAACUCAAGUGCCACUUCGCUUAGACCUUCAACUUCAGUUCUUCAAGGUUUCUUUGAUGCAGUCACUCUUCUGUUGAGGUGGAGGCGCACAAGUGGAACUUGAAUAAAUAUUGUACUAAGCGCUUAGCGAUACAUUGGUCUUUUGUAGGCAUUUGCGUCGCAGUUUGUUUAUUCCUGCAAGAAAUUGGGACUUGAUACCAGAAAGGUCAAUGUCAAUGGUGGUGCCAUUGCUCUUGGGCAUCCUUUGGGCGCUACAGGUGCACGUUGUGUUGCAACUUUGCUGAAUGAGAUGAAGCGUCGGGGCAAGGACUAUCGCUUUGGUGCAAUCUCGAUGUGCAUGGGUGAUUUCUACUUUUGGUCUCUCUCUAUAAAUAACAAGUAAAGCAUAUAUAUAAUCAUUUUUUAAUUGAAAUAAAAAUUUAGUUUAGUGACAAAUGCAUAUCAUGUGGAAGGCAAAUUGAUUGUUUCUAUUCUUCUAAGCUGGCAUUCAAACUUAGUGGCUUGCUUAAUAAGUUAGCAUAAUUAUUUCUAGAAAAGAAGACCUGUUUCAGAAUAGUAAAAUGAAAAGAAGCAUAGGUAAAUAACUUAUGGCAUCGGAGGGUAUUUUCUAGAACCCAAAUGAGUCCUAAAUACUCAAAAUUACCCCUGACUGUAGUGAAUUUAGGAAUCUCUAGCGGUUUAAGUUAUUUUUAUCUAGCACGUAAUGGACCAAAGUAGGACUUCAUACCUACACUUGAAUUCCUAAAUAUUUUAGUCUUGACACAAGUAACUAUGUGAAGGUUUGGAACUAUCUCAUUCUAACCACAACCAUUAAGACUCUAGAGAUUAAGUAUGUUUCAAUAGAUAAAGAUUCAAAGCUUUUAUGGAUUGAUUAAUCAUUAGUUGUUCUGUUUCUGUGCAUAUCUGUGUGCAGUUGAUGAGGUUGUUCAGCGAGCCUGUAUGGACAACAUAUAAUCGACCACAGGAAGAUAACCCUGAUAGAAAGGAAUACAUGAAGGGCUUGAAGCAGAGAGGGAGCGACGAACAUGAGAAGAACCGAGAAAGCAAAGGGGCCUCUGAAAUCUCUGCCAAUAGUCCAAGAAGUAAGAGCUAAGUUCCUUGGAAUCUUAUGGUGAAGAAGGCUAUGUGAUUUUCGUUGCUGGUAGUGGUUGGUGAAAUAGAGCAUCCGUACAGAAGUCUCAAAAGCUUUAUAAAAUGGGUAGUGGCUGGUUUAAUGUGUUCAAGUCAAAGGAUGAAAUGAUGUCUUCAAAAGUCGAGGAAACUACAAGCACUGCAAAGGAAAGGUCAAAACCUCCAACACAUGAAGAAGCACCUUCAAGUGUGACCAAAAAGAAGGUUGCAGCUGCAAAGCAGUACAACUCUUCUGUAUGUGGACAUGGUAGCAAAGAUUCUCACUCUGUAUCUGAUUUUUUUCGUGUUUGUACGGAAACUAAAUUGUGUUGUUAAUGCUCUCAAACAAGUUGAUCUUAAAUGGGACAUAUUGUGCUUUAUAUAGCUUUAGAGCUUUGAUUUUGAUUUAUAAUUUAUACUUUCUAA
This is an RNA transcript of Lotus japonicus, 2258 nucleotides long. It is a transcript of the gene named 3-ketoacyl-CoA thiolase 5, peroxisomal-like, with no coding region annotated. The transcript has 9 exons. The record is from RefSeq and is a predicted model, not a curated record. Lineage: Eukaryota; Viridiplantae; Streptophyta; Magnoliopsida; Fabales; Fabaceae.